This 277-nucleotide long non-coding RNA is filed under the name Setaria italica (foxtail millet). Its description in RNAcentral is "long non-coding RNA (SITA_LNC005393)". Lineage: Eukaryota; Viridiplantae; Streptophyta; Magnoliopsida; Poales; Poaceae. The record is from RNAcentral.
CAUCAACCACCUUAAAUAAGUGGGAGUAGGUUCCAUGUUAAUGAUGCCAAUAAUUGAGUAUUCUUUUAUCAGUUUUGCCUAGUCAAUUUUCUUUGCUCACUUCACUCGCUCCUCCAUAAACAAAAAACGGCACCUCUUAAAUCUGAACUAGUACAGGAUCUGUCCGGCCCCAGGCUUUGUUUAUACAGACGAACGAAAGAAACAUUUGAUUACCAGCCGGUGGUUUCAUCGAACGGGCCUGAUGGAUACGUGUUUUGUUCCGGCCCGGGCGCGUCGC